RNAcentral lists this long non-coding RNA (1152 nucleotides) under Homo sapiens (human). RNAcentral describes it as "HSALNT0180256". The record is from RNAcentral. Lineage: Eukaryota; Metazoa; Chordata; Mammalia; Primates; Hominidae.
UAUCAGCCUCGAGUCUUUUUCCAGGUGGUGUGCAAUCCUGGCUGGAGAACUUGCGCAAGGCUACCUGCCUCCCAGUUGUGAAAGAAAAGGGCUUGGUGCCUCCCCUGCCUGUGGAGUCUGCACACUGGAUUGGCACCCACCUCUGAGUUCUGGCCAGGAGGCUUCUUGCCCCAUUCAAAUUGUUACAAAGUUCAGCUGGAAAUUACCUUCUCCCUGUGGUGUUUUCCCCCUACUCCUCUGGCUGCCCUCCUGAUGGAUCCUUGUGGUGCCAGGCAGGAAUGGCCUGCCUGGGGACCCAGUGAGCUGCCAGGGCCUUUGUGAUGCUUCCUCUACCCCUGUAUUUCUCUUGGCUUUCUAAAUGGACUCAGCUCCAGGUCCCUGAUCAACCAGUCAAGCCGUUCACCACCGCUCGUUUAAUUGAAUGCUCCAGUUCUUUUCAUUUCCGAAGUUAUGGUGAGAAGAACUAAGUGGAAAAUGGUGAUAAAUUACCUGAUAUGCAAAAGCGCAUUCUGCUAAAUGGAAGACAUCCUCAAUUCUGUUGGAGGGGCAGUUACUAUUGAAAUGCAUAAAUGUUUGAGACUAAAUAUUUUCAUAAUACUGUUUUCUCUCCACACCAAGUACUUUUCUCCUGUUUAUAUUGGUAGAAUAUCACAGUUUGUUUGGAUUAAAGUGUAACUUAAAUGUGCACUACAUAAAUUUUGAGAAGAGCUCUACCCCAUGAGAUUUUUUUUUUCUUUUCUUUUCUUUUUUUUUUUUUUGAGAUGGAGUCUCACCCUGUCGCCCAGGCUGGAAUGCAGUGGCACAAGCUCGGCUCACUGCAAGCUCCACCUCAUGGUUCACGCCAUUCUUCUGCCUCAGCCUCCCAAGUAGCUGGGACUACAGGCACCCGCCACCAUGCCUGGCUAAUUUUUUUGUAUUUUUAUUAGAGAUGGGGUUUCACUGUGUGUUAGCCAGGAUGGUCUCGAUCUCCUGACCUCGUGAUCCGCCUGCCUUGGCCUCCCAAAGUGCUGGGAUUACAGGUGUGAGCUACCGCACCUGGCCCCCAUGAGAUUCCUAAUAUCAUUUGUGCCAUGACAUUGUGCUACACCCAAAUGUAUAUUUUAUUUUAUCAUUUCAAAAUAAUUCAAUAAAUAUAAUUUUAAAAGCAAACAC